Molecule: RNA transcript, 3230 nt
Organism: Myotis myotis
Lineage: Eukaryota; Metazoa; Chordata; Mammalia; Chiroptera; Vespertilionidae
Gene: RIOX1
Gene name: ribosomal oxygenase 1
Exons: 4
Source: RefSeq, a predicted model, not a curated record
CGCCCAGCGUGCGCCUCCCUCUCGCUGGCUCCCGGCUCGGAGGAGAGUUCGACCAUGGACGGGCUCCGGGCUAGUGCGGCUUUGCUGAGGCGCGGGCGGCUGAGACGCCGGCGCCAGCCUCAGUCACACAGCGGGUCGGUGCUGGUCCUGCCCCUGAGGCCCAGGAAAAUCCGCAGGCAGCUCAGGAGAAGUGCUGCGUCCCGCAUGGCGGCGCUGAGGGCCCAGACGCUGCCCAGCGAAGACUCGGAGGACUCGCGGGUGGAAUCGACCGUGGACGGUCCCCGGGACCCGCCGCCUGGAGGGGCGACGGCCACCCCGGAUGCGGCCCGGCGAGAGCCGUACGGCCACCUGGGCCCUGCCGAGCUGCUGGAGGCCUCGCCCGCGGCCCGCUCCCUGCAGACCCCGCCGGCGCGUUUGGUGGAGGCGCAGACCCCGCCGGCGCGCCUGGUGCCCGCUUCGGCGCCGCCCUCGCGCCUGGUGGAGACCUCGGCCCUGCUGUGCUCUGCCCAGCACUUGGCGUCCGCGGCCCCCGCGACGCUGUCGGGGUCGCAGGUGGGUAGCACCGGCGGGGAGCCAGCCUGGGACUCCCCAUUGCGGCGCGUCUUGGCCGAGCUGAACCGCAUCCCCAGCAGCCGGCGGCGGGCAGCACGCCUCUUCGAAUGGCUCAUUGCGCCCAUGCCACCCGAUCAUUUCUACCGGCGCCUGUGGGAGCGGGAGGCGGUGCUGGUGCGGCGGCAGGACCACACCUACUACCAGGGUCUGUUUUCUACCGCCGACCUGGAUGCCAUGCUGCGCAACGAGGAGGUGCAGUUUGGGCAGCACCUGGACGCCGCGCGCUACGUCGACGGGCGGCGCGAGACCUUGAAUCCGCCGGGCCGGGCCCUGCCCGCUGCCGCGUGGUCCCUGUACCAGGCCGGCUGCUCCCUGCGCCUCCUUUGUCCCCAGGCCUUCUCGACCACCGUGUGGCAGUUUUUGGCGGUGCUCCAGGAGCAGUUUGGAAGCAUGGCGGGCUCCAACGUUUACCUCACGCCCCCCAACUCGCAGGGCUUUGCCCCCCACUACGACGACAUCGAGGCUUUUGUGCUGCAGCUGGAAGGUCGGAAACUCUGGCGCGUCUACCGACCCCGGGUCCCGACUGAGGAAUUGGCCCUGACGUCCAGCCCCAACUUCAGCCAGGAAGACCUUGGUGAGCCGGUGCUGCAGACCGUGCUGGAACCUGGAGAUUUGCUCUAUUUUCCUCGGGGCUUCAUUCACCAAGCCGAAUGCCAGGAUGGGGUGCACUCUCUCCACCUCACCUUGUCCACGUACCAGCGCAAUACCUGGGGUGACUUCUUGGAGGCUGUACUGCCUCUGGCGGUGCAGGCUGCCAUGGAGGAAAAUGUGGAGUUUCGUAGGGGACUGCCCCGAGACUUCAUGGAUUACAUGGGGGCCCAGCAUUCGGAUUCUAAGGAUCCUCGAAGAACUGCUUUCAUGGAGAAGGUGCGGGUCUUGGUUGCCCGCUUGGGACACUUUGCUCCGGUCGAUGCUGUGGCUGACCAGCGAGCCAAAGACUUCAUCCACGAUUCUCUGCCUCCCGUGCUGACUGACAGGGAGAAGGCACUAAGUGUUUACGGGCUCCCAAUUCGCUGGGAGGCAGGAGAGCCUGUGAACGUAGGAGCCCAGCUGACAACAGAAACGGAAGUGCACAUGCUUCAGGAUGGGAUAGCCCGGCUGUUGGGCGAGGGAGGCCAUCUGUUUCUCUAUUACACAGUGGAAAACUCCCGUGUUUAUCACCUGGAAGAGCCCAAAUGCUUGGAGAUAUUACCCCAGCAAGCUGAUGCCAUGGAACUCUUACUCCGCUCCUACCCCGAGUUUGUGAGGGUAGGGGACCUGCCCUGUGACAGCGUGGAGGACCAGCUUUCCUUGGCCACCAUGUUGUAUGAUAAGGGGUUGCUGCUCACCAAGAUGCCUCUUACCUGAACUAGUUUCUCGUUGAUUGCUGGAAACAAGGCAGCAGUGAUGACUCUUUCCUACCACCACCACCUUGUUCUGGAGGGGAAAAACUCACGUUCUUACCUUGAUGACCAUCGUUGUGCUCACACUUACCUUUAGGCCUGCUGCAGUGUCAAAAAACUCAGAGGAUGUUUUAGGAACCACCACAUCUAGGCACAGAAAUAAAAGCAGAAGUUGGAGGUGGAAAAAAGCUAUUUCUACCCAAGUAACCUUGAUCCCUGAUCAUUUCAGAAUACGAACUUAAUCAUCCGCCUCAGGCUUCAGUGUACUGUGUAGCACUUGCUGUCGUUCUGCUUGAGACAUGAGAAGUUUUUAUUUGGAAUUGCUUUGCAUCCUUAAUUUGAGUUCUCAUUCAUCAGUUUGGGGGAGGGUCGGGUUGGAAGAAACUUCCCCAUAUCUGGCAAGUGCAUAUUCUCAUGUUGGUGGAAAAGAGCCUGGUGUACCAGAGAGAGCAUUGGACUUGGAACCAGAAGACCUGGGUUUGGGGUGGUGGCUGGUAGGCAGCUGGCUGAAUGACCUGAGGCUGCUGCUACGCCUGGGCGCACAGAUUUUCUCACAGAUCUAUAUGGUGAUACAGGCUUCUUUUGAAUACCUCCAUCAGGUUUUCCCCUAAUAACGUGGGAUUACAACUUCGCUCACUGGAGUUGAUCUUAAAGCCCAUAAAAAGGGCACCUGCUGCUAAACAGGCUGCUCGCCGAACUGCCAUGAAGUCAUCAGAGAAGCAGUUAAGGAAGCUGGGGAAAAGCUUGGCGGUCAUGAGCUUGAGCCCACCAAUCAGAGACAGGGCUUCCACACGCUCUUGGGAAUUUCCUAGACUCAGCUUGAUUCUGUAAAGUACAGGUGCUUUUAUUUCCCCUCUUCAAACUUUUGAUGCUCCUUCCCCCCAGUGCCCUCAGGAUAAAAUCCAACCUCUGUAGGCUCUCCAUUAUCCAUUUCCACCCUUUCCUAGUCAGCCUUAUCCCCUAUUAGGUUAAGUUUCACUGGGUAGAGACUCGACUGUCUUAUUUACUUAAAUCCCUAUUACCUAAUUAUGUUGAAUGACUAAAUAAAAGACACUUUCAAACAUGCACCUCUUGCUUGCUACAGUUCUCUUUGCUGCCUUCACCUGUGCCAUGCUCAUUUCUAUAUUUGGCUCCCAAAUGUCUUUCCUUCUCUUUGCCUGUGUAGUCUUAGCUGUCCUCCAUGAAACUUGACCUUAUUAGAUAUUUGUGUAUCUUGCCUGUAUAAUCAGAAUCAUG